Non-coding RNA from Arachis ipaensis, 81 nucleotides. The record is from RefSeq and is a predicted model, not a curated record. Lineage: Eukaryota; Viridiplantae; Streptophyta; Magnoliopsida; Fabales; Fabaceae.
UUUAUGAGGCUACUUGGGUGAUUAGAGCGAGCCAUGCUUUACUAUCUCCACGUGACAACAAGCCCAAAAGGACGAGGCUAA